Mustela putorius furo (domestic ferret) is the source of this 107-nucleotide small nuclear RNA. NCBI's taxonomy places the organism in Eukaryota, Metazoa, Chordata, Mammalia, Carnivora, Mustelidae. The record is from Ensembl.
AUGAGUCAUUAAGCAGCAUCUAUACUAAAACUGGAAUAAUAUAGAGAGGAUUAGUAUUGCCCCUAUGCAAGGAUGAUACACAAAUUUGUGAAGCAUUCCGUAUUUUU